This 592-nucleotide long non-coding RNA is filed under the name Carica papaya (papaya). Its description in RNAcentral is "long non-coding RNA (CPAP_LNC003638)". Lineage: Eukaryota; Viridiplantae; Streptophyta; Magnoliopsida; Brassicales; Caricaceae. The record is from RNAcentral.
CCGACGAGCCUGCGUACCUACAGCGCGUACAGGGGAAUAGUGCGUAUGUCUCAUCACUGUCACAUUUACCUACCACGCACAUGCUGCAUGCCUCGCUUCAUGUCCACCUGCCCUACGUUGUUUCCCCGCCUGCAUAUGCUGCCUUGCAGAUUGUCACAUCUGCUGCCACCCUGUUGUCUGGCUAUCCCCCAUUGGCUAUUUAAAGCCAAUUCUUCUUUUCUUCUCCUCCAUUUCUUCAUUUUCCUUCUUCUUCUUCACUUGGCUGAGAGAGAGAGAGAGAAAGAAGCUUGAGAGAGAGACGGAACCAAGGAGACUCGAGAAGUUUUCCUCCUUCGCAUGGUAAGCUUUCUUCUUUUCUUCUUAAUUUCCUUUCUUCACUAUGAUAUCUAAGAGUUCACCCUUAAUCUCUUCUUUCACUCAAAAUUUCUAGAAAACUUCUAAAGAUCCACAGGUUGCUGAGAAACCUUCCUCCUUCUUCAAUCCGCAAGCAACCUCAUUUUUUUAACCUGAAAGAUUUAAAGUUUAGGUAAAGGUCUUAGUAUUUUUGCAUACUCUCCUAAGAUAUUUUCUAGACACUAAAACAUUUAAAGAU